Non-coding RNA from Camellia sinensis, 314 nucleotides. The record is from RefSeq and is a predicted model, not a curated record. Lineage: Eukaryota; Viridiplantae; Streptophyta; Magnoliopsida; Ericales; Theaceae.
AAUGCAAUCUAAGCAGGUAAUUAAUUGAAGUUAUGUCUGAUUGUUAUGUGUUAUCAAUUUUGUGUUAUGUGUGUUAGGAAAAUAAUUUAUUAAAUAAUUUGGUUGUUUGCAGGGUGAUAGUUUUUGUACUCUUGAAGGUCAAUAUGAGCCUCCUGCUGCCAUGGGUAAUAUUUCUAGUCAGGAUGGUUCUUUUUCUACUUAUCAAGGUCAAUCUCAACCUUCUUCCGACAUGGGUAAUCAUUCGAUACAGGGUGUUUACACUCCACAAGGUCAAUCUCGACCUCCUUUUGCCAUGGGUAGUAAUUAUGUUGAGG